UGGCUCAGAACGAACGCUGGCGGCAGGCUUAACACAUGCAAGUCGAGCGGCCGUAGCAAUACGGCAGCGGCAGACGGGAGAGUAACACGUGGGAACGCGCCCUUCGGUCCGGGAUAACCCAGGGAAACUUGGGCUAAUACCGGAUACGCCCUUACGGGGAAAGAUUUAUUGCCGAAGGAACGGCCCGCGUCCGAUUAGCUAGUUGGUGAGGUAAUGGCUCACCAAGGCGACGAUCAGUAGCUGGUCUGAGAGGAUGACCAGCCUCACUGGGACUUACUCCCGGCCCA
Molecule: ribosomal RNA, 287 nt
Filed under: uncultured Hyphomicrobiales bacterium
Lineage: Bacteria; Pseudomonadati; Pseudomonadota; Alphaproteobacteria; Hyphomicrobiales
Description: uncultured Rhizobiales bacterium partial 16S ribosomal RNA
Rfam family: Bacterial small subunit ribosomal RNA
Source: RNAcentral